GACGAACGCUGGCGGCGUGCUUAACACAUGCAAGUCGAGCGGUAAGGCCCUUUCGGGGGUACACGAGCGGCGAACGGGUGAGUAACACGUGGGUGACCUGCCCUCAGCUCUGGGAUAAGCCUGGGAAACUGGGUCUAAUACUGGAUAUGACUCCACGGUGCAUGUCGUGGGGUGGAAAGCCUUGUGCGGCUGAGGAUGGGCCCGCGGCCUAUCAGCUUGUUGGCGGGGNGAUGGCCUACCAAGGCGACGACGGGUAGCCGGCCUGAGAGGGCGACCGGCCACACUGGGACUGAGACACGGCCCAGACUCCUACGGGAGGCAGCAGUGGGGAAUCUUGCGCAAUGGGCGAAAGCCUGACGCAGCGACGCCGCGUGAGGGAUGACGGCCUCGG
RNAcentral lists this ribosomal RNA (391 nucleotides) under uncultured bacterium. RNAcentral describes it as "bacterial SSU rRNA". It matches the Rfam family "Bacterial small subunit ribosomal RNA", at positions 28 to 420 of the family's 1533-position model. The record is from RNAcentral.